GACGAACGCUGGCGGCGUGCUUAACACAUGCGAGUCGAACGCUGAAGCUUGGUGCUUGCACUGGGUGGAUGAGUGGCGAACGGGUGAGUAAUACGUGAGUAACCUGCCCUUGACUCUGGGAUAAGCCUGGGAAACUGGGUCUAAUACUGGAUACGACAUGUCACCGCAUGGUGGUGUGUGGAAAGGGUUUUACUGGUUUUGGAUGGGCUCACGGCCUAUCAGCUUGUUGGUGGGGUAAUGGCUCACCAAGGCGACGACGGGUAGCCGGCCUGAGAGGGUGACCGGCCACACUGGGACUGAGACACGGCCCAGACUCCUACGGGAGGCAGCAGUGGGGAAUAUUGCACAAUGGGCGAAAGCCUGAUGCAGCGACGCCGCGUGAGGGAUGACGGCCUUCGGGUUGUAAACCUCUUUCAGCACGGAAGAAGCGAAAGUGACGGUACGUGCAGAAGAAGCGCCGGCUAACUACGUG
Molecule: ribosomal RNA, 472 nt
Filed under: uncultured bacterium
Lineage: Bacteria
Description: partial 16S ribosomal RNA
Rfam family: Bacterial small subunit ribosomal RNA
Source: RNAcentral